Molecule: ribosomal RNA, 245 nt
Filed under: uncultured Lachnospiraceae bacterium
Lineage: Bacteria; Bacillati; Bacillota; Clostridia; Lachnospirales; Lachnospiraceae
Description: partial 16S ribosomal RNA
Rfam family: Bacterial small subunit ribosomal RNA
Source: RNAcentral
UACGUAGGGGGCAAGCGUUAUCCGGAUUUACUGGGUGUAAAGGGAGCGCAGACGGAUAUAGAAGUCAGAUGUGGAAGCCCCGGGCAUAACCCGGGGAGUGCAUUUGAAACUCUAUAUCUAGAGUACUGGAGGGGUGAGCGGAAUUCCUGGUGUAGCGGUGAAAUGCGUAGAUAUCAGGAAGAACACCGGCGGCGAAGGCGGCUCACUGGACAGCAACUGACGUUGAGGCUCGAAAGCGUGGGGAG